CCAUGCAGUCGACGGCAGCACGAGAGAGCUUGCUCUCUUGGUGGCGAGUGGCGGACGGGAGAGUAAUAUAUCGGAACGUGCCCAGUAGCGGGGGAUAACUACUCGAAAGAGUGGCUAAUACCGCAUACGCCCUACGGGGGAAAGGGGGGGAUUCUUCGGAACCUCUCACUAUUGGAGCGGCCGAUAUCGGAUUAGCUAGUUGGUGGGGUAAAGGCUCACCAAGGCAACGAUCCGUAGCUGGUUUGAGAGGACGACCAGCCACACUGGGACUGAGACACGGCCCAGACUCCUACGGGAGGCAGCAGUGGGGAAUUUUGGACAAUGGGGGAAACCCUGUUCCAGCCAUCCCGCGUGUAUGAUGGAGGCCUUCGGGUUGUAAAGUACUUUUGGCAGAGAAGAAAAGGUAUCCCCUAAUACGGGAUACUGCUGACGGUAUCUGCAGAAUAAGCACCGGCUAACUACGUGCCAGCAGCCGCGGUAAUACGUAGGGUGCAAGCGUUAAUCGGAAUUACUGGGCGUAAAGCGUGUGUAGGCGGUUCGGAAAGAAAGAUGUGAAAUCCCAGGGCUCAACCUUGGAACUGCAUUUUUAACUGCCGAGCUAGAGUAUGUCAGAGGGGGGUAGAAUUCCACGUGUAGCAGUGAAAUGCGUAGAUAUGUGGGAGGAAUACCGAUGGCGAAGGCA
Molecule: ribosomal RNA, 682 nt
Filed under: uncultured bacterium
Lineage: Bacteria
Description: bacterial SSU rRNA
Rfam family: Bacterial small subunit ribosomal RNA
Source: RNAcentral